GAUAUGUGAAUACAUAGCAUAUCAGAAGGCACACCCGGAGAACUGAAACAUCUUAGUACCCGGAGGAAGAGAAAGAAAAUUCGAUUCCCUUAGUAGCGGCGAGCGAAACGGGAAGAGCCCAAACCAAAAAGCUUGCUUGUUGGGGUUGUAGGACACUCUAUACGGAGUUACAAAGGACGACAUUAGACGAAUCAUCUGGAAAGAUGAAUCAAAGAAGG
RNAcentral lists this ribosomal RNA (218 nucleotides) under Staphylococcus aureus. RNAcentral's name for it is "partial 23S ribosomal RNA". It matches the Rfam family "Bacterial large subunit ribosomal RNA", at positions 153 to 364 of the family's 2925-position model. The record is from RNAcentral. Lineage: Bacteria; Bacillati; Bacillota; Bacilli; Caryophanales; Staphylococcaceae.